AUCUGCAGUCGAGCGGACUUAAAAAGCUUGCUUUUUAAGUUAGCGGCGGACGGGUGAGUAACACGUGGGCAACCUGCCUGUAAGACUGGGAUAACUUCGGGAAACCGGAGCUAAUACCGGAUAAUCCUUUUCUACUCAUGUAGAAAAGCUGAAAGACGGUUUACGCUGUCACUUACAGAUGGGCCCGCGGCGCAUUAGCUAGUUGGUGAGGUAACGGCUCACCAAGGCGACGAUGCGUAGCCGACCUGAGAGGGUGAUCGGCCACACUGGGACUGAGACACGGCCCAGACUCCUACGGGAGGCAGCAGUAGGGAAUCUUCCGCAAUGGACGAAAGUCUGACGGAGCAACGCCGCGUGAGUGAUGAAGGUUUUCGGAUCGUAAAACUCUGUUGUUAGGGAAGAACAAGUACGAGAGUAACUGCUCGUACCUUGACGGUACCUAACCAGAAAGCCACGGCUAACUACGUGCCAGCAGCCGCGGUAAUACGUAGGUGGCAAGCGUUGUCCGGAAUUAUUGGGCGUAAAGCGCGCGCAGGCGGUCCUUUAAGUCUGAUGUGAAAGCCCACGGCUCAACCGUGGAGGGUCAUUGGAAACUGGGGGACUUGAGUGCAGAAGAGAAGAGUGGAAUUCCACGUGUAGCGGUGAAAUGCGUAGAGAUGUGGAGGAACAACAGUGGCGAAGGCGACUCUUUGGUCUGUAACUGACGCUGAGGCGCGAAAGCGUGGGGAGCAAACAGGAUUAGAUACCCUGGUAGUCCACGCCGUAAACGAUGAGUGCUAAGUGUUAGAGGGUUUCCGCCCUUUAGUGCUGCAGCAAACGCAUUAAGCACUCCGCCUGGGGAGUACGGCCG
Molecule: ribosomal RNA, 850 nt
Filed under: uncultured bacterium
Lineage: Bacteria
Description: bacterial SSU rRNA
Rfam family: Bacterial small subunit ribosomal RNA
Source: RNAcentral